ACAUAAGUAACGAUAAAGCGGGUGAAAAGCCCGCUCGCCGGAAGACCAAGGGUUCCUGUCCAACGUUAAUCGGGGCAGGGUGAGUCGACCCCUAAGGCGAGGCCGAAAGGCGUAGUCGAUGGGAAACGGGUUAAUAUUCCCGUACUUGGUGUUACUGCGAAGGGGGGACGGAGAAGGCUAUGUUGGCCGGGCGACGGUUGUCCCGGUUUAAGCGUGUAGGUGUGUGUUCCAGGUAAAUCCGGUUCACUUUAACACUGAGGCGUGACGACGAGGCACUACGGUGCUGAAGCAACAAAUGCCCUGCUUCCAGGAAAAGCCUCUAAGCAUCAGGUAACAUCAAAUCGUACCCCAAACCGACACAGGUGGUCAGGUAGAGAAUACCAAGGCGCUUGAGAGAACUCGGGUGAAGGAACUAGGCAAAAUGGUGCCGUAACUUCGGGAGAAGGCACGCUGACACGUAGGUGAAGUGAUUUACUCA
This 478-nucleotide ribosomal RNA is filed under the name Salmonella enterica subsp. enterica serovar Typhimurium. RNAcentral's name for it is "partial 23S ribosomal RNA". It matches the Rfam family "Bacterial large subunit ribosomal RNA", at positions 1300 to 1773 of the family's 2925-position model. Lineage: Bacteria; Pseudomonadati; Pseudomonadota; Gammaproteobacteria; Enterobacterales; Enterobacteriaceae. The record is from RNAcentral.